AAUAGAUACCCUGGUAGUCCACGCCGUAAACGAUGUCGACUUGGAGGUUGUGCCCUUGAGGCGUGGCUUCCGGAGCUAACGCGUUAAGUCGACCGCCUGGGGAGUACGGCCGCAAGGUUAAAACUCAAAUGAAUUGACGGGGGCCCGCACAAGCGGUGGAGCAUGUGGUUUAAUUCGAUGCAACGCGAAGAACCUUACCUACUCUUGACAUCCAGAGAACUUGGCAGAGAUGCUUUGGUGCCUUCGGGAACUCUGAGACAGGUGCUGCAUGGCUGUCGUCAGCUCGUGUUGUGAAAUGUUGGGUUAAGUCCCGCAACGAGCGCAACCCUUAUCCUUUGUUGCCAGCGGUCCGGCCGGGAACUCAAAGGAGACUGCCAGUGAUAAACUGGAGGAAGGUGGGGAUGACGUCAAGUCAUCAUGGCCCUUACGAGUAGGGCUACACACGUGCUACAAUGGCGCAUACAAGGAGAAGCGACCUCGCGAGAGCAAGCGGACUCAUAAAGUGCGUCGUAGUCCGGAUUGGAGU
This 526-nucleotide ribosomal RNA is filed under the name uncultured bacterium. Its description in RNAcentral is "bacterial SSU rRNA". It matches the Rfam family "Bacterial small subunit ribosomal RNA", at positions 777 to 1304 of the family's 1533-position model. The record is from RNAcentral.